Molecule: ribosomal RNA, 325 nt
Filed under: uncultured eukaryote
Lineage: Eukaryota
Description: partial 18S ribosomal RNA
Rfam family: Eukaryotic small subunit ribosomal RNA
Source: RNAcentral
CCCUUAGAUGUUCUGGGCCGCACGCGCGCUACACUGAUGCAUUCAACGAGCCUAUCCUUGACCGACAGGUCCGGGUAAUCUUUGAAUCUGCAUCGUGACGGGGAUAGAUUAUUGCAAUUAUUAAUCUUCAACGAGGAACGCCUAGUAGGCGCAAGUCAUCAGCUUGCGUCGAUUACGUCCCUGCCCUUUGUACACACCGCCCGUCGCUCCUACCGAUUGGGUGUGCUGGUGAAAUGUUCGGAUCGGCCGUUUGUCGCGGUUUCCGCGUCAUGUGGCUGAGAAGUUCAUUAAACCCUCCCACCUAGAGGAAGGAGAAGUCGUAACA